AACUUUCAACAACGGAUCUCUUGGUUCUGGCAUCGAUGAAGAACGCAGCGAAAUGCGAUAAGUAAUGUGAAUUGCAGAAUUCCAGUGAAUCAUCGAAUCUUUGAACGCACAUUGCGCCCAUUAGCAUUCUAAUGGGCAUGCCUGUCCGAGCGUCA
RNAcentral lists this ribosomal RNA (155 nucleotides) under uncultured fungus. RNAcentral's name for it is "5.8S ribosomal RNA". It matches the Rfam family "5.8S ribosomal RNA". Rfam says of the family: 5.8S ribosomal RNA (5.8S rRNA) is a component of the large subunit of the eukaryotic ribosome. It is transcribed by RNA polymerase I as part of the 45S precursor that also contains 18S and 28S rRNA. The record is from RNAcentral. Lineage: Eukaryota; Fungi.